RNAcentral lists this unclassified non-coding RNA (19 nucleotides) under Mus musculus (house mouse). RNAcentral's name for it is "oocyte_clustered_small_RNA6769". Lineage: Eukaryota; Metazoa; Chordata; Mammalia; Rodentia; Muridae. The record is from RNAcentral.
UAACCAAGAUCAUACAAGG